UAUGAGGCGGGCUGGACCUCUCGGGGUUACAGCCUUGCUGAAUUAUUCACCCUUGUCUUUUGCGUACUUCUUGUUUCCUUGGUGGGUUCGCCCACCACUAGGACAAACAUAAACCUUUUGUAAUUGCAAUCAGCGUCAGUAACAAAUUAAUAAUUACAACUUUCAACAACGGAUCUCUUGGUUCUGGCAUCGAUGAAGAACGCAGCGAAAUGCGAUAAGUAGUGUGAAUUGCAGAAUUCAGUGAAUCAUCGAAUCUUUGAACGCACAUUGCGCCCUUUGGUAUUCCAAAGGGCAUGCCUGUUCGAGCGUCAUUUGUACCCUCAAGCUUUGCUUGGUGUUGGGCGUCUUGUCUCUAGCUUUGCUGGAGACUCGCCUUAAAGUAAUUGGCAGCCGGCCUACUGGUUUCGGAGCGCAGCACAAGUCGCACUCUCUAUCAGCAAAGGUCUAGCAUCCAUUAAGCCUUUUUUCAACUUUUGACCUCGGAUCAGGUAGGGAUACCCGCUGAACUUAAGCAUAUCAAUAAGCCGGAGGAAACAGU
This 538-nucleotide ribosomal RNA is filed under the name Alternaria solani. RNAcentral describes it as "eukaryotic LSU rRNA". The stretch from base 158 to 311 matches the Rfam family "5.8S ribosomal RNA". The record is from RNAcentral. Lineage: Eukaryota; Fungi; Ascomycota; Dothideomycetes; Pleosporales; Pleosporaceae.